Molecule: non-coding RNA, 110 nt
Organism: Acanthosepion pharaonis
Lineage: Eukaryota; Metazoa; Mollusca; Cephalopoda; Sepiida; Sepiidae
Source: the annotation of a GenBank genome assembly
AGGCCAUAUCACGUUGAAACACCGGUUCUCGUACGAUCACGGAAGUUAAGCAACGUCGAGCGUGGUCAUUACCUCGAUGGAUGAUCGCUUGGGAAUACCAGGUGGCGUAA